AGCAAUCCCCCGGUAGGGUGGCGAACGGGUGAGUAAGACAUGGGAAUCUGUCCCGGAGAUGGGGAUAUCCUUCCGAAAGGAGGGUUAAUACCGAAUACCGUCCGGUGGGCGAGAGUCCAUUGGGGAAAGGGAGGCCUCUGGCAACAAGCUUCCGCUCCGGGAGGAGCCCAUGGCCCAUCAGCUAGUUGGGAGGGUAACGGCCUACCAAGGCGAAGACGGGUAGCUGGUCUGAGAGGACGAUCAGCCACACUGGCACUGAGACACGGGCCAGACUCCUACGGGAGGCAGCAGUGAGGAAUUUUGCGCAAUGGGGGCAACCCUGACGCAGCAACGCCGCGUGUGGGAAGAAGGCUUUCGGGUUGUAAACCACUUUUGUAAGGGACGAAGUCCUUUCGGCAAAUAACCGAGGGGGAUGACGGUACCUUGCGAAUAAGCCACGGCUAACUCUGUGCCAGCAGCCGCGGUAAGACAGGGGUGGCAAGCGUUGUUCGGAGUAACUGGGCGUAAAGGGUCUGUAGGUGGUUUGUCAAGUCUUUGGUAAAACGCCGUGGCUCAACCAUGGUUUGGCCAAGGAGACUGGGAGACUGGAGGCUGGGAGAGGGAAGCGGAAUUUCUGGUGUAGCGGUGAAAUGCGUAGAGAUCAGAAAGAAGGCCGGUGGCGAAGGCGGCUUCCUGGAACAGACCUGACACUGAGAGACGAAAGCGUGGGGAGCAAACAGGAUUAGAUACCCCGGUAGUCCACGCCCUAAACGAUGGGAACUAAGUGUGGGGAGCAAUCCCCGUGCCGCAGCUAACGCAAUAAGUUCCCCGCCUGGGGAGUACGGCCGCAAGGUUGAAACUCAAAGGAAUUGACGGGGGCCCGCACAAGCGGUGGUGCAUGUGGUUUAAUUCGACG
Molecule: ribosomal RNA, 895 nt
Filed under: bacterium enrichment culture
Lineage: Bacteria
Description: bacterial SSU rRNA
Rfam family: Bacterial small subunit ribosomal RNA
Source: RNAcentral